CUGCCUCUCCAUGGAGGUGAGCAGCUUACUCUUCUCUCUGAAGGCGGCAUCAUCAGCCACCACCAUGUUCCUCUUCACCAUCCCGGCUCCCUGAGACGACCACUCAGCAGGCCACGCUCUCUCCAUGCUGACAGUUACCUCGCCGCUGCCCUCUCUGGGGCAAAGAGCCACGCCUCCCUCAUCACUCCCGCCUUGCUGUCGGCUGCUGCUCCGAGGCUGGGCGCUGACAUCAUUUGAAUGCUCCAAUCACGGAGAGAGAUGGAGGGGAAGAGGACAUCCCAGUCGUCUCGCUUAGGUUCCUCUGAGUCGUCAUUUACACCAGGAAGCAGACUAUCAAGUUGGACUUCUGAGGUCAGAGGUCAGCCGUCAUCCAAGCAGAGAAAUGUUGCCCGAAGAACCACCAAGGAACUAACCACAGCAGCAGAAAUGACUCUCUGAAGUCAGGUGUUCUAUUAACCAGAAGAGGGUGAAGGGAAGAAGCCUGGAUACUUCAGUGCACACCAAAGGACAAAGACAAAGUAGCAAGCUAGUGUGCACUGUGCAGGUCAGGAAAAUGUUUAUGUGUUGCUUAGCAACAGUCCAGUAUCAGUCCAGUUGAAGAACUAUUUGUGUUGGCAUUGCCAAAUAAAUGAUGAAAAAAACAAACAAAUCAUAAUCUGUUGUUGCUAAUUUAACUAACAUGGUGCUCAGAGAACUGUUGUGCAAAGGGUCGUGAUGUUGUACUGAAUAUCAGCUGUGAAUGUCUUCGGAAAAUAAUGAAUUGUAAAUAAAUGA
Molecule: long non-coding RNA, 774 nt
Organism: Seriola aureovittata
Lineage: Eukaryota; Metazoa; Chordata; Actinopteri; Carangiformes; Carangidae
Exons: 4
Source: RefSeq, a predicted model, not a curated record